RNAcentral lists this ribosomal RNA (460 nucleotides) under uncultured Bacillus sp. RNAcentral's name for it is "bacterial SSU rRNA". It matches the Rfam family "Bacterial small subunit ribosomal RNA", at positions 341 to 792 of the family's 1533-position model. Lineage: Bacteria; Bacillati; Bacillota; Bacilli; Caryophanales; Bacillaceae. The record is from RNAcentral.
ACGGAAGGCAGCAGUAGGGAAUCUUCCGCAAUGGACGAAAGUCUGACGGAGCAACGCCGCGUGAGUGAUGAAGGCUUUCGGGUCGUAAAACUCUGUUGUUAGGGAAGAACAAGUGCUAGUUGAAUAAGCUGGCACCUUGACGGUACCUAACCAGAAAGCCACGGCUAACUACGUGCCAGCAGCCGCGGUAAUACGUAGGUGGCAAGCGUUAUCCGGAAUUAUUGGGCGUAAAGCGCGCGCAGGUGGUUUCUUAAGUCUGAUGUGAAAGCCCACGGCUCAACCGUGGAGGGUCAUUGGAAACUGGGAGACUUGAGUGCAGAAGAGGAAAGUGGAAUUCCAUGUGUAGCGGUGAAAUGCGUAGAGAUAUGGAGGAACACCAGUGGCGAAGGCGACUUUCUGGUCUGUAACUGACACUGAGGCGCGAAAGCGUGGGGAGCAAACAGGAUUAGAUACCCUGGUA